This is a long non-coding RNA of Sapajus apella (tufted capuchin), 1463 nucleotides long. RefSeq lists it as uncharacterized. The record is from RefSeq and is a predicted model, not a curated record. The transcript is spliced from 2 exons. NCBI's taxonomy places the organism in Eukaryota, Metazoa, Chordata, Mammalia, Primates, Cebidae.
UACACCCAGCCGGGGACACUCCCUUUGGAAAAAAAAAAAGAGCUCUUUAUGCAAAAACAACCCUCUGGAUGGCAUGGGGUGAAUAUAAAUACUUCUUGACUGCCAGUGUGUUUAUAACUUUGCAGCGAGUCAAAAACUGAGGCUCCAACUCCAGAGAACACAGCCUCAUCACUGCUUUAAACAUCUCUCGGCCGCCUUUGGCGAGGGAACUGGGCAGUUCCAGACAGUCCCGAAGCUCCCAAGGCACAGGUCUCUUCCCAGUUGGACUCUCCUUACCCCGGGGAGGCAGUGCAGCCCGCUGCAAGCCCCACAGUGAAGAACGUCUGAGCUCAAAUCCAGAGAAGUGACAUAAGUGCCCCACUUUGCAAAACCACAGAGAUGGCCUGUCCUUGGAAGUUUCUGUUCAAGGCCAAAUUCCACCAGGAUGUAAAGACGGAGGGAAAAGACAUCAAUAACAAUGUGGGCAAAAUCCCCUGUGCCACCUCCAGGUGAGUGUUCCCCGGGGGCGCCUCCUGCUUGUCUCCUUGGGCACCCAUGCCCUGUUGGUGCCAGUGACUCAGAAUUCCUCUCUCUGCUCCUCUCUCACUUGAGAUCUGAUCUCGUUUCUUCUUGGAAGUCCCUGUUAGAAUUAAAUGAAGUCACUGAUGAUUGGGGAUCUUGCUGUGACUGAGGACAGUAUGUGGAGGAGGAAGGGACAUGGCACGGGGCUGGCCCCGAAGGAGCUUGGAAUCUCUGGGGGAGGAAUAUGGGAAGGAGCUUGACCUGAGAAUGGGAGGCAGUAGAGCCUGGUGGUGGGAACCAGAGAGGGGGCCUGGGGGUGGGGGAUCGGCAUCCUGGCCUGCGUCCAUUCCACUUCACCUCUUGAUGGAUGCUUUGAAUAUCAUCCCAGUGAAGGGUAUCAGGAUGUUAGACAAACUAGUUCCAAGUCCUGUGCUGGUGGCACUGGCUGCCCGGUGCUGCCUCUCGCUGGCUGUGUGACUUGGGGCAAGUUAACCUCUCUGAACCUUAGUGCUCACCUGCGGUAUGAGGAGCCCAAGGGGGCACUCCUCACGGUGUGCUGAGGAUGAAAUGAGAUCCGCAGCGCUCAGCACCAUGCCUGCACAGAGCAGCGCUCAGUCCACACCGGGGUUCAUAGCCAUCUACUGAGUACCUGCCCUUACCAGAGCUACACGGGCCACUUUACGUACUUUGCAUCUCAACUGAUCUCUGCGGCGGCUCUGUGAAGUUUGUGUGAUUGACUCUUUUCACAUAUGAGGAAAUAGAAACUCUGAUACAUUUAUGACUUUCCCCAGCUUGAAUGACCAGUAAUUACAGAGUUGGAAUUGGAGUCCAGAGUUGGAUUCUUCAUGUCCCUCCUCCCCAGGACUGUCCCUCCUCCCAGGGCAGAACCGAGAGAAUGAGUCAGUCAAUGAAGGAGUCAGGGUACAGGCUUGAGACUUGCUCAGGUGGAAAGACAAGGCAAU